GAAAAAUAUAUGUGAACGUGUAUAAAUAUGGUUUUGUUUACUUUAGGCAUUGAAAUUAAAUUCAGAGCGAUCAAAAAUGCACCAAGGAUCUUCUGAAAAUUAUCAGUGCUAGUUAUUUGGAAGGUGAUUUGUUUCUGCAUAUAGGGUAAUUUGGUUCUAUAGUGUGUGUGAAAAUUAGGGUAUAAACUGCAAUAUGGCUAUUUUGCUGGAUCUAAUGCGUAAGCAACUCAUGCACACAUUACUCCAAAGUUCAGUAUCAUGCAGCUCUAGAGGACAUUGAUAUAAGCAAUUUCCAUCAAAUUGGUACCAUAACUUUGUUUAUGCAUAUGAGGAAGAGUAUAUAUGCAUGUUUGUAAUAAUUGAUUGUACCAUCACUUGCUUACCUACCCAUAGAUGUGAAAAGAGACAUUGACAGUUGAAUAUUGGGAAGAAACUCCUAAUUUGCGGCAGUUAAACUGUCAGCCUAUGUAACACAGAAUUGGAAACGCGGGAAUGGACACAGAGAAACACAAUUUCUAAAAUUAUAGGAAACAGAAAUGUGUAUAUAUGAAAAAUAUGGUGGUAUAUUUGUAGAUUUUUAUUUUUUAUUUAAAAAUAUAGAUAUAUUUAUAAAUUUUAAUUUUUUAUAUAAAAAUUUAGAAAUAUACUUAUAAAUGAAUACGUGUUUUCACUUGGCCAAUAUAUAUAAUUAAAAAGUUAAUAGAAAGAGAAAUUUUUUAAAUUUUAAAUUUUCUUAUUUAAUUUAUUAAUUUAAAAAUUAAUUAUUAAUUUUC
This 773-nucleotide unclassified non-coding RNA is filed under the name Hevea brasiliensis (rubber tree). Lineage: Eukaryota; Viridiplantae; Streptophyta; Magnoliopsida; Malpighiales; Euphorbiaceae. The record is from RNAcentral.